UUGCCAACAGAAACUGUGCAUAUGCUUACUAAGCGACAUUGUCUCCCAUUAACCGAAUUAUACUUAAUUAACCUGAAACAUGCUGGUGUGAUGAUGUCAUUCCAGCCGACUCAUCUUGGAGGCUUCCCUCAGGUCCAAGCUGAAGCGUCUGUUCUGCUGGCCCAAUUGACUUUGAGUAGAAAUGGGACUGGCUCCUUUCAGGCUUUGUGGCCAGCACUGGAGCCCAUCCACCGAUCAGAAAAGUGAGAACCACAAGACAAAUGGAGAAGCAUAGGGGAACGCACAUGAGCCCGAUACAAGAGAUUGCUCCCUUUUAUCCCCCUGGCCGAGGCAGCGCGGCGCUGGAAGGAGUCAUCUCGGCUGUGUCCUUGUCAUCUCUACAUGAAUGGUGCCUUGGUCUGGAAGCACGAUGCCAGCUUGGCCCGGCGACAGGAAAGUGGAGUGGCGAGGAGAGGAGCGUUUGUCCUCGGCCGGUGGAGCUCAGAUGGGAGGCAGUGCUGCCUCUGGUUGGGACUGGGGAUGCUGAACGGGGGGAGGGAGGGCCUGUUUGAGCUGGGACAGCAGCUCCAGCAGCAGGGGGAGUACCAGGCCGCCCUCCACUGCUUCCUCAGCUGCCUGUUGGGACUGACCCAUGUGCAGAGCUUCACCUCUCUGCCCAACUGUCUACACCAGAUUGCAGAACUCUUCAUCACUGAAAAGAAUUAUGGGAAGGCCCUUCAGUUCAUCCAGGCUGAAAAAAUGUUCUACGAGGUGGCACUGAUAGAGCUCACCGCUCUCCAGGGGAGCACAGGGCCUCAGGAGGAGGCUAUGUUGGGCUCUGCAGGAUGGGCCACCCCAGAGGAGCUUUCAGAGCAGGCCUCCCAGGCACAGCACCUCGAACGGCUGGCCCAGCUCUGCAUCAUGAGCAAACGGCCUCAUCUUGCUUUAGAAUACAGUGGUAAGGCCACUAAGAUCCACCAGAGGGCCUUUGGUAAUGACCACCCAAUAACAGCCCGGAGCCUGGAGCUUUUGGCCACUGUCUAUGCUGAGAUUGGCAAGACUGAAUAUUCAGACUCCCUGGGUCAGUGUGUGUCCGCGCUGUCCAAACGGUUUGCUGCUGCCGAGUCCGUCAAAGACACCGUCAACUGUCUUCCUCAUUCCCACCGGGAGAAACACUCAGAGGUCCGCCACCGGAAGGACACCCACCACCAACAGGAGGAUACACUGAGACCCAAGGUAAUGUUUUACUAUGAUCCACCUGCAGGCAUGUUUAGAAAGCUUGCAUGUGAGCUGUUGUUUGACUACAUGUCCUUUUGAAUGCUUGUGGUUAGUCUGUGUUCGAAAUGCCUUUGGAGUUUGUGUAUACUCAUCUCCAACUGAAUCUGAUCCCCUAUCAAGGUAACCAAUGGUAAAGUCCCCACCUCCAUACUAAAGAGGCCCGGCCCCAGCUGUGGGUCAGACACAGAACCCGCUCACAGACGGAAGGGCGAGCGCAGGGUUCGAUUCAGGGAGCCAGAGACCACUGUACAUGGUGAGAAAACAAGAGAAAAAAAGCUUGUACAUAACCGCAUGUUUGACAUUUUGACACCCUGCUCAGCCAGGUUCACAUGAGAGUCAAAUUUUGC
This is a long non-coding RNA of Myripristis murdjan (pinecone soldierfish), 1604 nucleotides long. The record is from Ensembl. Lineage: Eukaryota; Metazoa; Chordata; Actinopteri; Holocentriformes; Holocentridae.